UGAAGGUCCCCCACAUUGGAACUGAGACACGGUCCAAACUCCUACGGGAGGCAGCAGUGAGGAAUAUUGGUCAAUGGACGAGAGUCUGAACCAGCCAAGUAGCGUGAAGGAUGACUGCCCUAUGGGUUGUAAACUUCUUUUAUAAAGGAAUAAAGUGGUCCACGUGUGGAUUUUUGUAUGUACUUUAUGAAUAAGGAUCGGCUAACUCCGUGCCAGCAGCCGCGGUAAUACGGAGGAUCCAAGCGUUAUCCGGAUUUAUUGGGUUUAAAGGGAGCGUAGAUGGAUUUUUAAGUCAGUUGUGAAAGUUCGGGGCUCAACCCCGUAAUUGCAGUUGAUACUGGAUAUCUUGAGUACAGUUGAGGUAGGCGGAAUUCGUGGUGUAGCGGUGAAAUGCUUAGAUAUCACGAAGAACUCCGAUUG
RNAcentral lists this ribosomal RNA (420 nucleotides) under uncultured bacterium. RNAcentral's name for it is "bacterial SSU rRNA". It matches the Rfam family "Bacterial small subunit ribosomal RNA", at positions 298 to 715 of the family's 1533-position model. The record is from RNAcentral.